UGUAACACAGUUGUUCUGCAAAACAGUUUGAGAUGCUGACUUGGAAAAACAUGAUUAAAAGUAUAGCUCAGACUCCAGGAAAUCAAGGGAGCAAUGAUUUCUUAGUGUGUUGCUUGGAUCCUUCUGGGAAGCUGACUACAAGAUGGGAUUAGAGGAGCAGGAGCCUUACAGGCACUUUCUGUUUGUACUUCCUGGCUCGCUGAAAUGUCACCUCAUCUGCAAGGUCUCAUUGCCAGAUUCUGAGUAAUUUCUUCAGAUCUAUCCUCCAGG
Molecule: non-coding RNA, 270 nt
Organism: Manis javanica (Malayan pangolin)
Lineage: Eukaryota; Metazoa; Chordata; Mammalia; Pholidota; Manidae
Source: RefSeq, a predicted model, not a curated record